Molecule: unclassified non-coding RNA, 300 nt
Filed under: uncultured Cladophialophora
Lineage: Eukaryota; Fungi; Ascomycota; Eurotiomycetes; Chaetothyriales; Herpotrichiellaceae
Description: sequence contains 5.8S rRNA gene, ITS2
Rfam family: 5.8S ribosomal RNA (bases 1-71)
Source: RNAcentral
GUGAAUCAUCGAAUCUUUGAACGCACAUUGCGCCCCUUGGUAUUCCGAAGGGCAUGCCUGUUCGAGCGUCAUUAUCACCCCUCAAGCCUCGUUGCUUGGUGUUGGACGGCCUGGUCGAGGUGACUCGACCCCUCCUAAAGACAAUGACGGCGGCCUGUGGUUCCCCCGGUACACUGAGCUUUUAACUGAGCACGUAUUGGAUAAGGGCACCCGGGACCCGGUCCUCUCCUUUCACUAGGAAACUUUUUUCAAGGUUGACCUCGGAUCAGGUAGGAAUACGCGCUGAACUUAAGCAUAUCA